Aedes albopictus (Asian tiger mosquito) is the source of this 1163-nucleotide long non-coding RNA. RefSeq lists it as uncharacterized. The record is from RefSeq and is a predicted model, not a curated record. Lineage: Eukaryota; Metazoa; Arthropoda; Insecta; Diptera; Culicidae. The transcript is spliced from 2 exons.
AAAAUUCUCCAAUAAAGCUCAAGAUGUUUUAUUCUUGCGUUCAAUCGAAGUUCUUCUGAACUUUUUCAUGAGGAUCCCGCGAUCUCUAUGAAAGUUUUUCUCAGGAUAUUUUUUGAUUAUUAAUGCAGAUUUUUUCUGGGGACUCCUCUUGAAUUAUUUUCCCUGAAUUCGUCCUAUGUUUUGUAACAUGGUUACAAGAACUACGUCAAACCUUCAUAUUAACAAUAUCCUCAAACGCCAAAAAUAAAAUAAAAAAAGAAUUCGAAGCAUGGGAUACGCAAGGGUUAUUUCGCACUUUUAUAUUACUCAUGCGCCCCUGGUGGUGGGUGAUGAAACCACAACUUUUAAAACCUUUCGGGUAACUUUGUUUUGAUCUGCUCAUCACUUUGAACCAUGACUAGAAGCUUCAUCAGUUCUUAUACAAACUGAUGAGCUAAUGAGUUAAAACAAAAGAAAUAAUAGGGGCGUCGCGUCGUAUAGCUUACAUGACAAGCAGCGUUAACCGAUCCAAACUUCCUCAUUCAAUCGGUGUCCAAGCUACAGAUAGCUACAGCUAUAGUGGAUCGUAGCCCAAGUGAGUGGUGCAUAGGUGACUAGAAGCGAAGAGUUAUACCCUAAAAAUAUAUAUUGUACUUUCAGCUAUACUCUAAGCCACCAGUUAAAUAACAAGUUUUUGAUAUAGGCCCUAGUGCGAGUUUUAAAUCAAAAUUUUGCGAAAACUCAAAUUCUGUGCCGUACCAGAGUACCGCACGAGCAGCGUACCCUCGAGGCGAAGGUAAAUUUAAUUGUGCUUCAAUUUGAUAGAAAAAAAAUCGUGUGUGACUAGUGACUAAUAUACAGCUUGUAAUGCGAACGUUAUGUAUUUUCUAUUUGAAGGACGCAAUCAUCCUUCAAGUGAAGGUGCUACGUCGGGGUGUAGGGGAUAGUACCACGCUGGGCUAUCUCUAGGGACGAACCUGAAGCCCGGCGGCUUGUAGGCCUGCCCUCGUCGUCGAGCCCGUGUUCAGCCCUCUGCGCACCCAGGGCCAACCGAAGGUUUCAGACCUUCUAAGGGACAUUCGGUAGUCUAUUUCCGAAUCGAUCCCGUACCGCCUCGAAGGGUAUUACGGGGCGAGAAGACCGCGUACGUCGACAGCUAAUCCCAGACAUCCGACACAGUGGGA